CGGGGGCGGGGCGUAGAACCGGGGGCGGGACGUGGAGCGGAGAGUUGCGUUGCACGACAACUUCCGCUUUCGCUGCUCCCGCUCCAGUUUAUCUUGGUUCCUGAGAUUAACCUCCGGUGGCGCGGGUUGGGGAAGCCAUACUGAACCCUGGAAACGGUGAGGCUACGCGGCUCACCAUCUUGGGUAAUGGCGAAGAUGCCAUCCCAGUGCCUGACUCACGUUGUGGAAAUCUCCAUCCCCGAGAGAAAAGGAGUAUCCAUCCGUCGGUAAACUGGAACUGAGGGCCUGCUGGAAAUAUGUGAUCAAGUCAUAGGGUGGAUUUUUAACCCUCCGGAGUCUAAAGGUUAAAAGUUCCCAGCCUGAUUAAUUGCCUAAUAGCACCGUUUUCUCUCUUAUAUUUUCCACAACAGCACCUGUUAAAAUAAUAUUCCUCACUUUCAGUUGUGUAUGCUGGUUAUCUUUUGGAAAACUUGACCUUCUUAAACCCUUAAGUGAGAUCACCCAAUUACUGACAAAAUCAGGAAGCGUAAUGAACUAUUUAAUGGCUGCUAUUUUUUCCAGUUCUGUUAUAAAUCUUACUGAACUCGCUCUAUAAAUAUGUUACUGCACAUUCCAAAUGUAAACUUGCCACGACACUCUCAUGUAAAACGAUUUAAUUAGCACAGAUAGCAAAUGGCAAAACCAAAAUAUAAACACAAGUAUGUCUGACUACAACGGUAGCUAUCUUCACCACUUCAUUAUAUUGACUAUUGAAAAACCUGUCUCUAAUUUAUCUAGGUAGCUCAGUGAUACCUUAAAAUUCAAAAAGAAUUAUCAUAUCUGUCCAAGGCAAGGUUGUGAGAAAUUGGCCACUCUCAUACACUGUUUGCACGAAUGGUAAUCGGUACAGUAUUUUUUAGGGCCAUUUAGCACAAUUGACGAAAAUAUUGCAUAUAACUUUCAUUUUAGCAAAUCCACUAAUAGAUAUUUUAGAGAUAUUCUUAUAUGCAUAAAAUACGUACUACGUUUAUUGUAGCAUUGUUUAUAAUAGUGAAAAAAAUGGAAACAACGUGAAUGUCUAUCAAUAAUAAAUGGUUAAUGCC
Molecule: long non-coding RNA, 1082 nt
Organism: Pteropus alecto (black flying fox)
Lineage: Eukaryota; Metazoa; Chordata; Mammalia; Chiroptera; Pteropodidae
Exons: 2
Source: RefSeq, a predicted model, not a curated record